ACGAACGCUGGCGGCGUGCUUCACACAUGCCAGUCGAACGGAAAGGCCCUGCUUUUGUGGGGUGCUCGCGUGGCGAACGGGUGAGUAACACGUGAGUAACCUGCCCUUGACUUUGGGAUAACUUCAUGAAACUGGGGCUAAUACCGGCUAGGAGCUCCUGCUGCCUGGUGGGGGUUGGAAAGUUUCGGCGGUUGGGGAUGGACUCGCGGCUUAUCAGCUUGUUGGUGGGGUAGUGGCUUACCAAGGCUUUGACGGGUAGCCGGCCUGAGAGGGUGACCGGCCACAUUGGGACUGAGAUACGGCCCAGACUCCUACGGGAGGCAGCAGUGGGGAAUAUUGCACAAUGGGCGGAAGCCUGAUGCAGCAACGCCGCGUGCGGGAUGACGGCCUUCGGGUUGUAAACCGCUUUCGCCUGUGACGAAGCGUGAGUGACGGUAAUGGGUAAAGAAGCACCGGCUAACUACGUG
RNAcentral lists this ribosomal RNA (467 nucleotides) under uncultured bacterium. RNAcentral's name for it is "partial 16S ribosomal RNA". It matches the Rfam family "Bacterial small subunit ribosomal RNA", at positions 29 to 507 of the family's 1533-position model. The record is from RNAcentral.